UGACAAAGCACUGACUGGGAUGACUUUAGGUGGCAUAAUUUGGGGAUUGAUCCUACUCUGAGCAGUGGGGUUGGACUAGAUGAUCUCCUGAGGUCCCUUCCAACCCUGGUAUUCCAUGAUU
Non-coding RNA from Chelonoidis abingdonii (Abingdon island giant tortoise), 121 nucleotides. The record is from RefSeq and is a predicted model, not a curated record. Lineage: Eukaryota; Metazoa; Chordata; Testudines; Testudinidae.